Molecule: small nucleolar RNA, 81 nt
Organism: Salvelinus namaycush (lake trout)
Lineage: Eukaryota; Metazoa; Chordata; Actinopteri; Salmoniformes; Salmonidae
Product: small nucleolar RNA SNORD72
Exons: 1
Source: RefSeq, a predicted model, not a curated record
UCUUUGUCAAUGAUGUUAUCAGUACAAAUGUCUGAACAUAUGAAUUUCUGUGAUUCUUAUUUGUUUUUACUGAGACAAAGA